This 119-nucleotide ribosomal RNA is filed under the name Pteropus alecto (black flying fox). Lineage: Eukaryota; Metazoa; Chordata; Mammalia; Chiroptera; Pteropodidae. The record is from RNAcentral.
GUCUAUGGCCAUGCCACACCGAACACGCCCGAUCUCGUCUGAUUUCGAAAGCUAAGCAGGGUCGGGCCUGGUUAGUACUUGGAUGGGAGACCACCUAGGAAGAUCAGGUGCUGUAGGCG